Molecule: non-coding RNA, 113 nt
Organism: Astrocystis sublimbata
Lineage: Eukaryota; Fungi; Ascomycota; Sordariomycetes; Xylariales; Xylariaceae
Source: the annotation of a GenBank genome assembly
UCUCGAUUGGUCUAGUGGUUAGGAUACCUGCUUGUCACUCUUAGCUUGAGACGUAGUCUUAAGUUAACAAUGAUAGUUCGCAGGUGGCCGGGGUUCGAUUCCCCGAUCGAGAG